Molecule: transfer RNA, 68 nt
Filed under: Marmota monax (woodchuck)
Lineage: Eukaryota; Metazoa; Chordata; Mammalia; Rodentia; Sciuridae
Description: tRNA.Ala
Source: RNAcentral
GUUAUGGCUCAGCGGUAGAGUACACACCUAGCACGUGGGAGACCCUAGGUUCGAUCCUCAGCACAACA